GUGUGUGUUAGUGGUGAGUAUACAGUGUGUUGUUAGUGUGUGAUAUACAGUGUGUGUGUCAGUGUGUGAUGUAUACAGUGUGUGUGAGUGUGUGAGUAUACAGUGUGUGUGUUAGUGUGUGAGUAUACCAGUUGUGUGUUAGUGGGUGAGUAUACAGUGUGUGUGUGAGUGUGUGAGUAUAAAGUGUGUGUGUUAGUGGGUGAGUAUACAGUGUGUGUUAAUGUGUGAGUAUACAGUGUGUGUGUCAGUGUGUGAGUAUACAGUGUGUGUGUUAGUGUGUGAGUAUACAGUGUGUGUGAGUAUACAGUGGUGUGUGUUAUGUGUGAGUAUACAGUGUGUGUUAGUGGGUGAGUAUACAGUGUGUGUGUUAGUGUGUGAGUAUACA
Ictalurus punctatus (channel catfish) is the source of this 385-nucleotide long non-coding RNA. The record is from Ensembl. NCBI's taxonomy places the organism in Eukaryota, Metazoa, Chordata, Actinopteri, Siluriformes, Ictaluridae.